UGAGAGGCAAGUGAUACUGUGAAGUCUCCUGUCCACACCAGGUACAGCACAGGCAAUUGCAGUGCAAGAGUCUCCAUAUUAGCCCAACAAUGUGCCCCGGUCCUAAACUGAAAGAAGAAAGAGGCCAGUGCACCUGUCAUUGGUAACUUGACCCUCAAUUUU
This 162-nucleotide small RNA is filed under the name Gopherus agassizii (Agassiz's desert tortoise). Its description in RNAcentral is "TUC338 (ENSGAGG00000007129.1)". The record is from RNAcentral. Lineage: Eukaryota; Metazoa; Chordata; Testudines; Testudinidae.